This is a long non-coding RNA of Ornithorhynchus anatinus (platypus), 2899 nucleotides long. RefSeq lists it as uncharacterized. Lineage: Eukaryota; Metazoa; Chordata; Mammalia; Monotremata; Ornithorhynchidae. The record is from RefSeq and is a predicted model, not a curated record. The transcript is spliced from 4 exons.
GCUGCUGCUGCUGCUGCUGUUGCUGCUGCUGCUGCUGGAGAGCCACCUGCUGCAGCUGAAGUUGGGCUGCAAACGAAGCCGCGGGAGAGUCUAAGGAAACGGGGACGGCCUCGCGCCCCCCCCCCAACCCCCGGCCAAAUCUCCCCGGCGUCCCCAGGGCCACCUGGAAGACCGGAUCAGAACAGGAGAGGCAGCGGCCACGGCCAAGGGUGCCGGUCACGGACCAGCCCGGGAGCCCGAGCCAGGAGUCGGGAAGGUGACACGGUGGACGAACUGACUGGCCCCCACGGUCGGCAGCGGCUGGAGGGACUGAGGCAGGACCGGCCCUGGACCCCAAGAUGUCCUUUUGUGUCUCCCAUUUGUGACCAUAAAGGAGUUGGACAGCACCGCAACCCGGCUGGUGUCUGGUCCCGGCGACAUCAAGCCGAUCGAGGACGGCAACGUGCUGCUCCACGAGAUGGAGACCCGCAAGCUGGUGUCGGGAGAGUCUUCCGGAGGGGAUACCAACACGUCGGGCGGUGAGUGUCGUGAGAAGCCUUCGACAACGCCACCCUUCCAAGAGCUGCUCUGUGCCGAUCCCCGAGGACUAGGCACCCCCCACCCGGGAAGAAGUCGUGCAGAGGACUGGCAGCGGCCGGGCAAAGUCGGUCUCCACCACGAUCCGACGGGGAGCCUGGAGAAACUGCGACGUCCCACCCACCUGCACCCAGAAACCCUGCACUGCUGGGGGAAGCCUCCCAUUCAAGAACUCUGAAAUGAGGUAAACUGACCCCUACGGCCGAGCUCCGGCCCGGACCCGCUGGCAGGCUGAGCACCAGCUGCCGGGUGACCCUCAAGAAUGGACGUUCACCCUCGGCAACAGCCCCGCGCUCCCCAGGCCGCCGCCUGGCUGGAACCAGAGAAAUGAUACUGAAAUCCCAUCCAGGUGGGUGACUGACGCAGGAGCCCGGGACUGCCAGUUGUAGCACAGGGCCCUGGCCUCCAGGCCUGGGAAAACCCCUCGAUAGGCAGCCGGGGCCUGGGGGAUACCCUCGGUGGUCUCUGCGUGCAACCGGGGGCCUUGGCUUUCCACGACAGAUGCCCGCCCUGCAUCCGCCCUCAGGCUGCAUUUGCCUCAGGCCUGCAGUGUCACAGCCAAUCAACCUGCUGCGCAGACAGCCGUGACUGCUCACCUAACAUCGCCGCCGUUGCCGGUAAAAGAAAAAGACCCACAACGGGAAAAUUUUUUUGUCUGUGGCGACGGUGACCGCAGCAAGAAGGUGGGAUGGGGACGGACUGCCCCCAGGAGUGCCCCGUCUGAGCACAAAAAUACAUCAAGCCAACUGCCGAAAGAGACGCCCAUGCCGGCACGUGCCCUAAAUGCCAGGCAGGCAGCCUGGGGCCUCGGGGCGGAUUAAAAAUGGGAGAGGCGAGCCAUGGCUGUUAGCGGCAGAGUUUCUCCCUAGCCCGGGCCCAAGCGGGCAGGCACAUCAACCUUGCCGCCCCACAGGGCCACCACCAUCACAAAGGGGAAAUCAUUUCUACACCCGAAUGGCCACUCCAGGAUUUCCCUUUCACUGGGGCUGGUUCCAGAUUUUCCGGCUUCCCUCCACCGUGCGGGGGAGUGAGGAACAGUCAGGAGCGGUGAGGCCUUUUCAGUUUUUGUUCUCCCUCUCCAGCCGGAAGGGGUUUUCUGCUCAAAACUGUUGGCUGGGUGACCCCGGCCUCCUGGAGAGGAGGACAGGGCGGGCAGGAGCAGGUAGGAGCCCCACCUCUUCCCACAUACUGGGAUGGGAAGGAGGGACUGCGGUCGAGAGAAGCUAAGCACGUUGCCCGUGUGAGCGGGGAGCUGGGGCCAGAAGGCGAGCCAGGGCCGUCUCUGGAAGUGGCCGCAUGCUGGGCCUCGAGGGAAGGGACCUCCAGUCCACCUCCCCUUGCUUCUCCACCCCGACCUCCAAUCGCUACCGACUUGAACCUCGGAAAGCAAGCAAGCUCUUACCGGCAACUGAAGCUUGAGACUUCUUGUUAUCUAGUGGAAAGAAGAGAUACAAAGAGAUCCUGACACCUCCCGCUUCCACGGCAUCGUCUCCCUUCAGAGCCCCGCUGCCUCGCCCUCUGCCCACGUGCCCGGGACCGGAGGCUGGACAAGGACUACCGUUGAUCCAAACCGGUCUCCCAGCUGGUGCCAAAAAUCCUACGCCCUUCCCGCGGUUGGUUCCCACGUGGCCGGCCCCUAACCGCCAAACCCAGGAGACGUGGUCAGGACUCUUGUUGGGAGUGACGCUUACAAAGGCGGCGGGGUCCGCGGAGGAGACCGGCCGGGGAGGGGAGGUGCCCUCCUCUUUGGCGGGGAGAGAUCGGACGAAUCCCGAAAGGAAGAAACCGGGGGACCCUCGGACCGCGGAUGGUCAAGGCUUCGGCGGACGGGUGCCCGGACGUAAGCGGGGGCUUCGCGAGAGCACAACAGAGUUAGGGAAGCCUGAGAUAAAACCUCAGAGAAACCGUUCGGGGCGGGAUUCGAAAAGCCCCCACCCACAGGAAUCGGUCCUCGUGUCCGAAGAGCAGCGGGCUGGACAAGAGCGGACGGGCCACACCCAAUCCUGUCAGAGCUACUCCCGGCGACUCCGGCGGGUACUUACGGAUGUCUCGGAAAUGGAUGAUGAGCCGGGCCACCAGAGAAAGGUAUUCCUCCUAAAACCAAAAACAGGAAGCAGAUGAGUCCAGAGUGAGGAAGCCAACUUCUCAUGACUCAACAUUUCCCUUCUCCCAGCCCCGCUCCCUCGGCCCGUCGGAGUCAUCCCUUCCGCCGGCCAGGCGGGCCUGGAGUCCCCCGCGGGCCGGUGGUAACAUCCGCCCCAAGUCGGAGCCGGUGGGCUCGGGGUUCUUUCUCCAUCAAAGAGGCGGCCGCCAUCUGACUCAG